This 636-nucleotide ribosomal RNA is filed under the name Leptolyngbya sp. WUC1305. RNAcentral describes it as "bacterial SSU rRNA". It matches the Rfam family "Bacterial small subunit ribosomal RNA", at positions 117 to 789 of the family's 1533-position model. The record is from RNAcentral. Lineage: Bacteria; Bacillati; Cyanobacteriota; Cyanophyceae; Leptolyngbyales; Leptolyngbyaceae.
GCGAGAAUCUGCCUUUGGGAGGGGGAUAACGACUGGAAACGGUCGCUAAUACCCCAUAUGUCUAUGGAUGAAACAAAUUUUGCCCAAAGAUGAGCUCGCGUCAGAUUAGCUAGUUGGUGGGGUAACGGCCCACCAAGGCGACGAUCUGUAGCUGGUCUGAGAGGAUGAUCAGCCACACUGGGACUGAGACACGGCCCAGACUCCUACGGGAGGCAGCAGUGGGGAAUUUUCCGCAAUGGGCGAAAGCCUGACGGAGCAAGACCGCGUGAGGGAUGACGGCCUAAUGGUUGUAAACCUCUUUUCUCUGGGAAGAUGAUGACGGCACCAGAGGAAUCAGCCUCGGCUAACUCCGUGCCACCAGCCGCGGUAAUACGGAGGAGGCAAGCGUUAUCCGGAAUUAUUGGGCGUAAAGCGUCCGUAGGUGGUUCAUCAAGUCAGCUGUUAAAGCGUGGGGCUUAACUCCAUAAAGGCGGUUGAAACUGAUGGACUGGAGUGCGGUAGGGGUUACGGGAAUUCCCAGUGUAGCGGUGAAAUGCGUAGAUAUUGGGAAGAACACCGGUGGCGAAAGCGCGUAACUGGGCCUGCACUGACACUGAGGGACGAAAGCUAGGGGAGCGAAUGGGAUUAGAUACCCCA